RNAcentral lists this ribosomal RNA (407 nucleotides) under uncultured bacterium. Its description in RNAcentral is "partial 16S ribosomal RNA". It matches the Rfam family "Bacterial small subunit ribosomal RNA", at positions 30 to 526 of the family's 1533-position model. The record is from RNAcentral.
AUUGAACGCUGGCGGCAGGCCUACCACAUGCAAGUCGAGCGGAGCGGCGGACGGGUGAGUAAUGCCUAGGUAUCUGCCUGGUAGUGGGGGAUACCGUCCGGAACCGGGCGCUAAUACCGCACACUCUCAGAUGAGUUUAGGUCGGAGUAGCUAGGUGGUGGGGUAAAGGCCAACCAAGGAGACGAUCCGUAACUGGCCUGAGAGGAAGAUCAGUCAAACUGGAACUGAGAAACGGUCCAGACUCCUACGGGAGGCAGCAGUGGGGAAUAUUGGACAAUGGGCGAAAGCCUGAUCCAGCCAUGCCGCGUGUAUGAAGAAGGUCUUAGGAUUGUAAAGCACUUUAAGUUGGGAGGCGUUACCAACAGAAUAAGCACCGGCUAACUUCGUGCCAGCAGCCGCGGUAAUAC